AUGAAACAUGCUGUGCUGGUUUCUGAAAACCAAGAAGCCUGGAGAGAAAUUUAUGACUUUGAAACAAAAUUUAGAGGUUGAAGGAUUUAGCAGUUUGCAAAGAACAUGGAGCUAAGCCCUUGAAAAAAAACUGUUCAAAAAGUCCUGGCCUAAAGUGCCAACGUCGUUUUCAGAAGUCCCCGCAGAAGCUCUUAGGAAUCUGAAAGUGUAAAAAUGGGGAGAGAGCAUUUUAAAGACAUCUUUCCCCUGAAAGCCGGUGCUUGUGAGCCUGUGCAUUUUCCCACACGAAUAUGCUCGGCCGUUAUGUUAGCCAGGCAUUUCCUGCAUGCGGCAGUUCUGGAGGCCGAAAGUCCAGGGUCAAAGUGCCAGUGGAUUACAUUUCCUGGUGAGGACCCUCUUCCUGGCUUGUACCUGUGAUUCCUAGAAGUCUCCAUUUUGAAGUUCUCUUGUCCUUUGACCAAGCAUCCAGCACAUCCUCACAACAUUCCAAAGCCACCUUGAAGACUCUCUUCAAAGCAAUUCUUACUGUUGAUACCACCACCAUUGUUCCUGACACAUGAAGCAGGAGGACCCAAGGCCAGAGGUCAUGGCGGAGAGAUGAGCAGAUAGUCCUCAAAGGCAGACAGGGCUGGGGUUGAAGAGGAAUUCCCUAAUAGCUGUUAUAAAUGGAGAUAUGACAGGUGUGAACAAACAACCUAGGACUGGAAGAAAGAAGAGGGAGGAGUCAGGUAGAAAUAGUACUGAGAGUGGAUGCCUGGGCUGUGUAGUGACAUAAAGGGGCUUAAAGAGGGCUUAGGGAGCAGAUCUGAGAGGAAGAGAAUGAAGGAAGGUAAAGAAUUCAGUCUUUGGCAUUCCGAUAUGUAGUGAGGGCUGGGGGUGGUGACAGACUAGAUUUAGGAAGUCUGAGGGUUGGGUGUUGGUUUGUGUUCUUGAAAUUACUUCCUCAGGAUUUCACAUCUAACCAAAUAUUAACAAUCAUUUACUAAAUAAAUAUUGUUCCAUCCCUGGAUGGGCAGACGGGAGUGUUAUGCCUGCCUCUCCCCAUCCCGUACCAAAAAAUUAACAAAGACAGUUCAAUUCAUGACCCCAAGGCUGUCACAAUCCAGACUAAGGAGUGCCCUGAGAGCCUAGCGGGAUCAUCUUGGUGCACACUCAGUAGCCAGGGGA
Long non-coding RNA from Chlorocebus sabaeus (green monkey), 1167 nucleotides. RefSeq lists it as uncharacterized. The record is from RefSeq and is a predicted model, not a curated record. Lineage: Eukaryota; Metazoa; Chordata; Mammalia; Primates; Cercopithecidae.